RNAcentral lists this transfer RNA (85 nucleotides) under Planctomycetaceae bacterium. RNAcentral's name for it is "tRNA-Ser". It matches the Rfam family "tRNA". Rfam says of the family: Transfer RNA (tRNA) molecules are approximately 80 nucleotides in length. The record is from RNAcentral. Lineage: Bacteria; Pseudomonadati; Planctomycetota; Planctomycetia; Planctomycetales; Planctomycetaceae.
GGAUGGAUGCCCGAGUGGUUUAAGGGACCGGUCUUGAAAACCGGCGUACUGAAAGGUACCGUGGGUUCGAAUCCCUCUCCAUCCG